AUGAGCGUUCCACCACUGUCGCUGCUAAUGUGGCCAUCAUCUCAUCCACCGUUCACGUUCUCCCAGUGGCAGGAUCUAGAACACCAAGCUAUCAUCUUCAAGUAUCUCAAAGUUGUUUUGUCGGUUCCUUCAGCCAUCCUUUUUUCGUAUUCGGAAAACGGAAGAACCAAUGGAAAAAAUGGAGACUCCAUGGAAGAACUAAAACCACUUUUAUGA
Molecule: non-coding RNA, 216 nt
Organism: Vicia faba (fava bean)
Lineage: Eukaryota; Viridiplantae; Streptophyta; Magnoliopsida; Fabales; Fabaceae
Source: the annotation of a GenBank genome assembly